AGGACUGAACUCUGUUUGCAAAAAACGAGAUCUCACGCUACUGAUCUCGCAUGAUAUCGUAGUACCUUAGGCCUGUUCUCUAUAAAUGCACCGAAAGUUUGAAGCAAUGAAGCAGGCAAAGAAACCGCGACAGAGAGGAGAUCUUUGCAAGGUUAUGGCUGCUGGCAUAUGAUUUAUUGCAUCCAUACUCCAUCCCAUAUUUCAUUCUGCUGACACAAAGUGACAUGAAUUUCAUUCUUCUUCCUCCAGCAAGCCACAUGCCUUCAGGAAGAACUCAAUGUGUAUGAAGGCCAACACCAACUUAAAUACUGGCAGCUGUGAAUUCACAU
This is a long non-coding RNA of Pantherophis guttatus, 329 nucleotides long. RefSeq lists it as uncharacterized. NCBI's taxonomy places the organism in Eukaryota, Metazoa, Chordata, Lepidosauria, Squamata, Colubridae. The record is from RefSeq and is a predicted model, not a curated record.